GACGAACGCUGGCGGCGUGCUUAACACAUGCAAGUCGAACGGUAAGGCCCUUCGGGGUACACGAGUGGCGAACGGGUGAGUAACACGUGGGUGAUCUGCCCUGCACUUCGGGAUAAGCCUGGGAAACUGGGUCUAAUACCGGAUAGGACCACUGCCUGCAUGGGUGGUGGUGGAAAGCUUUUGCGGUGUGGGAUGGGCCCGCGGCCUAUCAGCUUGUUGGUGGGGUGAUGGCCUACAAAGGCGACGACGGGUAGCCGGCCGGUGAGGGUGACCGGCAACACUGGGACUGAGAUACGGCCCAGACUGCUACGGGGGGCAGCAGUGGGGAAUAUUGCACAAUGGGCGCAAGCCUGAUGCAGCGACGCCGCGUGAGGGAUGACGGCCUUCGGGUUGUAAACCUCUUUCAGCACCGACGAAGCGCAAGUGACGGUAGGUGCAGAAGAAGGACCGGCCAACUACGUGCCAGCCGCCGCCGUAA
RNAcentral lists this ribosomal RNA (478 nucleotides) under uncultured bacterium. Its description in RNAcentral is "partial 16S ribosomal RNA". It matches the Rfam family "Bacterial small subunit ribosomal RNA", at positions 28 to 523 of the family's 1533-position model. The record is from RNAcentral.